Molecule: small nucleolar RNA, 124 nt
Organism: Equus asinus (donkey)
Lineage: Eukaryota; Metazoa; Chordata; Mammalia; Perissodactyla; Equidae
Source: Ensembl
AGGUCAUUUCAAAAAGGGCUUGUCGGACCAAAACCAGCUCUUAAUGCUGUGACCAAAACCUGAAGUUCUCCAUAGGAUAUAACAGUCACUCAAUAGUGCUAUGUUUUCCUGAGGAAAUAUAAGG